GCUGACUGUGGCUCUGGGAAGACAUUUUACUCAGUUGAUUUCUUUUUUCUUGUGGUCUUCUUGUCCAGUUCUCAGGUGUUUACCACCUAUUAGAAUUUCACCUGUAUGGGUCCUGUGUUUGAGAAAGUCCCAGGACUUGUCAGCUGUAUAGGCCUCAUAAAAGACAGCUCUGUUCAGGGUUUGAAAGGAUCUGCAGGAUCUCCCCCUGUGAGAGGCAACUCAGCAGCUCGGUGCCCUCUGCCAUCUCAGCACUGCCAGUGGAGAAGCCCAGGAGGAGCGCAGAGUAGUAGCUGA
This 294-nucleotide long non-coding RNA is filed under the name Bubo bubo (Eurasian eagle-owl). RNAcentral describes it as "lncRNA (ENSBOBG00000012907.1)". The stretch from base 1 to 171 matches the Rfam family "SOX2 overlapping transcript exon 1", at positions 56 to 230 of the family's 230-position model. Rfam says of the family: SOX2 overlapping transcript (SOX2OT) is a long non-coding RNA, containing at least 5 exons. The SOX2 gene, an important regulator of neurogenesis, lies within one of the introns of SOX2OT. The record is from RNAcentral. Lineage: Eukaryota; Metazoa; Chordata; Aves; Strigiformes; Strigidae.